RNAcentral lists this long non-coding RNA (1465 nucleotides) under Homo sapiens (human). RNAcentral's name for it is "non-protein coding LINC01116:13". The record is from RNAcentral. Lineage: Eukaryota; Metazoa; Chordata; Mammalia; Primates; Hominidae.
GAGGAUCGGGCAAGGCCGGCGUCCGGUCUGCGCGGGGCGCGGGUGCUCUCCGAAGGCCGCGAGCCACGGGCCUCGCUGCGGGUUCAAGUGCGUCCGGGUUUGGACGUCGCGGCUCCAGGAGUGUGCUCUCUCUCCUGCCCAUCCCCUCCCCGGAGUUCAGCGCAUCCGGGGCCCCGGGGACCCCUCUUCCCGGCCCUCCUGGCCGCGCUGGCCCGCCCGCAUGGGGCCGAGGUUCCUGGCCGACGCGCGAGGGCGCGGGCGGGUACCGGGUUCCCGUUUUUCCCAGGCCCCGAUCCCCGCCCACGCACGAGGCCCCCGGCCCACGCACGAGGCGCCCACGCCCAUCGUGGAGGCUCCGCCUGGAAAAGAAGUCCGACUUCCUCUCCAAGCUGCUCCGAGGGGAAUGGGGAAUCGGCAGGAAAUGACCCGAACUGCCAGCCUGCGCCUUUGCAGCCGGCCCUCGCUUUGCUGAAGACGAGCAGCUCCCACCAAAGUCUUGCCUCCCCUUACCCCGAAAGCCCCGCUCAGUUCAAUAUUUCAAGUGAAAAUCUGCCUGUUCGAAAAGAAAAUAUUCACAAAUGAGCAGUGUAUUAGAAGACAACUGAAUUGCUUCUAAGAAUGGGUCUCACUCUGCCAUCACCCAGGCUGGAGUGUGGUGGCACCAUCAUGGCUCACUGCAGCCUUGAACUCCUGAGCUCAAGUCAUCCUCCCACCUCAGCCUUCCGAGUAGCUGGAACUGCAGGUGUGAGCCACCAUGCCUGGCUGAUUUGUCUUUUUAAAUUUUUUAUAGAGACCGAGUCUCAACUAUAUUGUCCAGGCUGGAAAAGAACUUCUUUCCCUCCAAGUGAUAACCUUUUCCAGACAAGUCAGCUUAAAAACUGACCCAAAGGCCCUGAAGUACACAGUUUUCUUGGAGAAAGAAAAAAAUAAGUGAAAAGGACUUGCUGACUUGCUAAUUCAUUUUGGGGCCUGUGGGUAACAUCAGAAUGGCAAAGCACUUGGGGCUUUUUUCUAAUUUGUAUUUUUUUAAUCUUCUGAGAAAUGACUUUUAUAUGCCAAGAUUCAUUCCAUGAUUAGUUUUUAUGACCAAGUUAUGAACGCUUUUGAAUAUGGGGACCUAGAAUAGAAAUGCUAACCUACCUGCAAGGAGAGCUCUGUGAUUGGCAUCCCCAUCAUGCUGUAACUGACACAAAAUAAACUUAGGGUAAUUGCCGCAUAGUGUAACUUUAAUGUGUGAGCAUACUGUAACAUCUGACAAGCUUCUUGAUCUAGAUCAGCAAUGUGUAACCCAUUCAUUGUUGUCACUCUCAACAAGGCCUUAUGGUCAAACAUCAUCACUCUCACUAAAGAGAUAGUUUACUGAAAUAUACUGAGAUUUUGAAACUGGAGUCAAGAGGUAGCACACUGUUUUAUGUUGAUCCAUUUAAUGGUCCUUGACAGCCAAUAAAAAGACACUGGAAGAAUA